RNAcentral lists this transfer RNA (67 nucleotides) under Sypharochiton pelliserpentis. RNAcentral's name for it is "tRNA-Asn". Lineage: Eukaryota; Metazoa; Mollusca; Polyplacophora; Chitonida; Chitonidae. The record is from RNAcentral.
UGAAUUAGAAGCUCUAAGAAGCAUUUAGCUGUUAACUAAAAAGGAAUAAUUAUUAUUAUCUAUUCAG